AUCUUCAGGGCAGGGUGCAACUCCCGACCGGCGGUAAAGUCCGCGAGCGUCCUCGGGCGCAGGAUCCGGUGCAAUUCCGGAACCGACAGUAACAGGCUCUCACAGGGGCCUGAAGUCUGGAUGGAAGAAGAUG
This 133-nucleotide non-coding RNA is filed under the name human gut metagenome. Its description in RNAcentral is "FMN riboswitch (RFN element)". It matches the Rfam family "FMN riboswitch aptamer (RFN element)". Rfam says of the family: The RFN element is a highly conserved domain that is found frequently in the 5'-untranslated regions of prokaryotic mRNAs that encode for flavin mononucleotide (FMN) biosynthesis and transport proteins. This element is a metabolite-dependent riboswitch that directly binds FMN in the absence of proteins. The record is from RNAcentral.